Apis florea (little honeybee) is the source of this 391-nucleotide long non-coding RNA. The record is from RefSeq and is a predicted model, not a curated record. NCBI's taxonomy places the organism in Eukaryota, Metazoa, Arthropoda, Insecta, Hymenoptera, Apidae.
GAGAAAGAGAGAGAGAGAGAGAGAGAGAGAGAGAGAGAGAGAGAAAGAGAGAGUGAGUGAGAGAGAAAGAGGGAGAGAAAGGUAUCCGACGAUCUCAGUGUUAGCCUUGUAUCACUGUACAAUUUGUUAUUCAGUGUAAAACAGUUUUUCUGUAAUGUAUAUACGUAUAUAUUAAUAACUAUUAUUAAUUAUUAUUAAUGAUUACAAUGAAGCUAUUCGAUUAACUAUUAUUAAUUGUACUUGCUGAUUAUUGAUAACGAUUAUAACGGAGAAACCAGAAGCUAAUGCGAGUGCUUUUAUGCGUGUAUAAAAGAAGAAAAGAAAAAAAAAAAAGAAUAUUUUGCGUGUAAUGGUAAAAAAGGCUGUGCUGCCCAGCUGAAAACGAACAAAA